This is a long non-coding RNA of Falco peregrinus (peregrine falcon), 4187 nucleotides long. RefSeq lists it as uncharacterized. NCBI's taxonomy places the organism in Eukaryota, Metazoa, Chordata, Aves, Falconiformes, Falconidae. The transcript has 3 exons. The record is from RefSeq and is a predicted model, not a curated record.
GAGAUGUGGCAUCAUAUUCUUCCUGCCACCCUCCUGCUCCUCACGCUUCAGCAGAAGUCACAGCUCUCUGAAGCUUUGCUCAUCACCAUGCAGCCCAGUUUUGGCAGCUAUUUUCGGCACCGCCGCUGUACAGCGGCCAAGUUCUCAGAUGUAUUUGUAUGUUUUUUCAUAACUUCCUCCAAGUAGGUCUGGUUUUUUUCCAUACUAAGCUCAACAUUUUUACUCUUCCUAGGUCAACCAAAAGCCAUCUCCUCUUGGCAUCGUGCCUAUCUGUCCAGCUCAGUCGCAGCGUUUCUUAUGACCGGUGCCAGCUCCCAGGGCGGGUGGAGAAGGCUGGGAGCCAGGACCCAACUUAUUUACUAAGAGCCCAUCACAAGCUAUUUCUGUAGAGCAGACUUGGCCCUUUCAGAGCUAAAAGGGCAAAGAUUCGGCUGCUUCCCCAUAGGAAGGCAGUUCCCAGGCAGCUUCCUGCUGGGUACACGCUUUGCAGACCAGGGGCAAUGCUACUUUCCUUCCAUUUUUAUGCCCAUUGCUGAGCCUGCAUUGGGUUCCUCAUCCUGCUGAGGGCUUCACCUCAUACGUGCCGAGGCCCUGAGUUAUUGUUCUGCUUGAAGGCGGAGGGGACGGUGAAGGAAGCGACACUGGCCAGGUGUUACACAGAGCCCCAGGAGCAGACACACAUUCCAGCCACGUGCCAACACCUCCCUGCCCAGCGCAGAAAGCUCCAUUUGCCGACAGCCCUGCAGGUCUCCAACGCAAAGCCCAUCGAAAGCAAGGUACCGCAAGAGUCUUGGAUGCACAUCAAGCGAGCGCAGGUGUAUGCAGUCAGCUUUCUCGCAGCAAGAUUGCCCAAAAGCUUUAAAACCUAAAAGACGGGGAGUUGCCGAGAAGUGACUUCAUGUGCACCCUUGUCUGACACCCCCGGCUGUGAACAAGCGCCCUGCAGGCUCCUGAGCCAGCCUGGCCAGCCUCCAGCACAGCCAGCAGCCCCUUUCCAGAGAUGCGGAUGAGGUGUUUGCUCUUGAGGAUAGACCACGAGAGCCCAGUUCUCAGUUGAUCCCCCAACACUCGCUUCCUCAUCCAUGUUAACCAGUUUGCCAACUACAAAAAAAUAAAUCUGCUCUUCUUGUACUUACACCAAGCCACAAGAACCAGAGCUUUCCAGUUGAAUGACACUGAAACCAGUGAGUAACCCUGGUCUCAACCCCAGCUCCUCUGGACUGCUGUGACCCCACAUACACACACGUGUGCAAUCCCACCCGCACAUCCUUCCCACACAAACAAAACAGCCACAAAUUUAUACGGCUAUGAACAGUACCGUUAGAAAUUCAUUGUGAUGCUAUUGGAAACACAGUGUGGUUACCCCGCUACAAAAAAUAAAUAACAAAAAUAUUGAAGUGCUGCUAUCGGUGCCAAGGCUUGUGUAGUCCACUGUGCUCGGGGUAGCUGGUAGAUGGAUCAAAAAGCUUGAGAAUCACCAGCUUGGUGACAGCCCCGCAGACCUGGGGUACCCAUGCUUUAUGUCCAGUCUCCCAAGAGAUGCACUGGGCAAUGCUUUGGCAGUCCCUGAUGAUGCCCUUUCAGCUCUACACCUCAAUGUUCGGUUAGAUUAUUGAAUUUUGGCCCCUCAAGCUCCGACGCAGGCUCAGCCCCAGGCGAAUUCCCUCUGUCCCUGGGCAGCACCCAUCAGCAAGUGCAAAAGGCAGGGCAGGGCUGCCAGAGGGAUGGGCACUGCCAGCAGCUGUCACAGCCCUCAGAAACAGCAGAGUCACCCCUACACGUGAUAAACCAUUGCUUCAUAUUCUCAGUUUCUUACUUUAAUCAAAAUGCAUCUGUUGCAGAUUCAUGCAAUGACUUGUUCUCCCAUGAACCACCUGGUCCAAGUGGAUUCACAUUAUUUGGAGUAAACCCCACCCCCCUCCCUUAUUACCUGAUUACCUUAAAACAUUCAUUGCAGUGUUUCUCAAUAGCAAAUGCCAUUCCUAAGGUCACGUUUUCUAAAGGAGCCGAGAUACCUGGUGAGGAUGCAGGUGUUGAUGAGGAUGAGCUAACGCCACUGCUCGCAGCUCCAGCAGCUCCAGCACCCGGCAAGCAGGGAGCCCUCAGCCCUGCGGUUCCCAAGGCGCAGAAGAAAGCGAAAGGCAAUUACAUGAGAACAAUUAAUCAGAAAUGGGAAACAACACCUCGAGGGAGUUAACCACAGGAACAUGCCUUUGGUGCUACCUGCCAGGAUUACAGACACCAGCAGUGACCCUUUAUCUGGCUCCAGUAACACGCAGCACUGCCUGCCCUGGCAGGUUUAGGCGAUGGUGAACAUGUGUGGUGGUGCAUCUCGUCCCCUCUCUGGGCUGCUCUGCUGCCUGGGGGUCCCUGGUAGCCCCGGUGUCUGCGGAGCGAGCUGGCACCCUCGGCUGCACCAACAGCUCCUGCUUGGCUGAGGUGGGAACGGUGCUGCCCGUACCAGGAACUCCUGUUGUCUGGCAAAGGUGGAAACAAACCCAGCCAUCGGUCAUCCCCUGACAGCCCUGGGACAUUCCUGACCCGACCCGCAGCUGGGUGGAACGGUACCAUUGUCAGUGAAAAAUGACCGGCUCAGGUUACGGCCGGGAUGGAAUUUUAUGGAUGACUAAAGCCAGUCACCUCUGCCCCAUAAACAGCGGUCCAUGCAAGACCCUCUGAGCCGUCCUGGAGCACCGCGGGCUGCGACAGCAUCUCCCUCUGCGUGGGAUGUCACAUGCCAACUCCCAGGUCUGCAGUGUCGGAGGGACCGUCGCUGAGAGCUGACGAUGGAGCCUGGACUGAUACCCCCGCUCCUCCAGGCUCACCCUGAGUAUUGCACUGAACUCAGGGGGAAAUUUUAAUAUAUAUAUACCUUUAUACAUUUGUAUAUCUAUCUCUGUACACCUAUCCCCUUGUGUUUGUGUGUGCAUGUGAAUAGAUUUAGAUACUUCAUAACCAAUACAAGUGUUACCAUUUGGGGUCUGUAAUUAAAUCACUGUUAUAACUGAAGUAAAUCCUACUGAAUCACUCUGUAAAUGUUAAAUUGAUGAUUAAGUGCUGCUAAAAUUUUGUGAUGAACCUUAAGCUGUGAAUAAACUCUCACUCUCUACAUACCCUUAGAAUAAUCUGUCGACCAAAUCUGAAACUAAGAUUGGAUCUAGCUGCAGCUAAACUCGACCAAAUCAGUAAGAAAGCCAGGGGGUCCACUCUGAACCUCAUGACUCAACAGUAGGUUCUCCCUUACCCGUGACAUCUUUGAUCCCUGUGUAAAACAUUCUAGUUUAAUUCUAACUUGAUUUUUAAUUUGAUUUUUUUCUUUGUGUUCUAUCCAUAUAAUAAGUAAUGAAUGAACCUUGCCAUCACACUUUGUGAAGUCGCACCCCCACAAACUCUUACUAAAACUACUUCGCUCAUACCUUUGACAGUGCUUCUUUAAGUGACUUAACCUAAACAACUCAUUGGCGACACCGCUCCUUGCCACAGUGACCUUGCUUUUUCUUUGUGACCUUGGUCACCAUGGUUGGGUUUGCUCCUUCAAACCACAGGACUGACUCCCAUACUGGCCUCAUUCAGCCUCCCCCCUCCCCCCAUGGCGGGGCUGAGCAGGUGUGACCACGAAGUGUAGGGUUCUGCCAACCCACCACAGAACAGGCACGCAUGAGCAUCCCCCUGCCCCUGCACAGCCCAAGUUAUUUCUCAUUCACUUAUUACCACGUUUCUGUGCUCUCCGAGUCACACUGAAGCUAUACGGGAUUUGAUAACGUAUGUCAAGAUACAACAGCCAUAAUGCCGGGACCAUGGGAGCAGGAAUCAAUGACCCAGCGGCGGUAACCCCACGUCCAUCACCUCAUCCACCUCUUGCCAGCCCCGUGCUUUUAUCUUAGGUUUGACAAUCAGCUUCAAACUAACAUUAAAGCCAACAUAGAACUCUGCUUCAUCCCCUUCUUCACCUUUUUUUCCUUUUUUUCUCCCCCUCCACCACUUUUUUUUCCCUUUUUUUCCCCUUUUCUUAGCAGGGUGUUUUUCCAAGAUCAUAACAAGCAACAAAGGAAAGCUUUGCAAACAGGGGCUCAGUCAUCAGGCUGCCUCGGCACUGCACUGCACUCUGUUCUCAGGAGUGGCUGUGCAGAGGUAACCUGACACGUUCACAAGUACACGUCCAAAUCAAACAUGUCAACAUCGCAAUC